CUACGGGAGGAGGCAGCAGUGAGGAAUAUUGGUCAAUGGCCGGGAGGCUGAACCAGCCAAGUCGCGUGGAGGAAGACGGUCCUAUGGAUUGUAAACUUCUUUUGCAAGGGAAUAAAGUAGAGUACGCGUACUUUUUUGCAUGUACCUUGCGAAUAAGCAUCGGCUAACUCCGUGCCAGCAGCCGCGGUAAU
This 191-nucleotide ribosomal RNA is filed under the name uncultured Bacteroidota bacterium. RNAcentral's name for it is "uncultured Bacteroidetes bacterium partial 16S ribosomal RNA". It matches the Rfam family "Bacterial small subunit ribosomal RNA", at positions 339 to 524 of the family's 1533-position model. Lineage: Bacteria; Pseudomonadati; Bacteroidota. The record is from RNAcentral.